AGCUCUAAAUGACCCUUUUCUCUGUAUGGAAAGCAGUUAGCCUCAGAAGCUCCCGUAAUUACUGUUAUGCCACUCCGGUCUCUUCAGCUGAAAACCUCCUUGAUUUACUCCGUCUCUCACUCACCCACAAGUCUCUCAAACUCACUCAACAAUGCCAUGCUCGAAUUCUCUCUCUUGGUUUCACUCAAAACCCCUUUUUGGCCACCAAACUCAUUUCUGCGUAUGCUAUAUUCGGCGUCCCAGCUCUGUCCCAACUCGUUUUUGACUCGAUACAUUUCAAGAGUGUUUACCUAUGGAACUCGCUGAUUAAUGGGUUUGUAAAAAAUCGUGCUUAUAAUGAAGCUUUUGGUUGGUUUUAUCAAAUGUGUUGCCGUGGUGUUUUGCUUGAUGACUAUACCUUUGCAACAAUGUCAAAAGUUUGCCACGAGAUUGGUGACUUGAAUGCAGGGAAAUUGAUUCAUGGGAAAAUUUUAAAAACUGGGUUUGUUUUGGAUGUUAUAGUUGCCAAUUCUCUUAUGUCAAUGUAUAGCAAAUGUGGGGGAUUUGUAGAAUGUUUGAAACUAUUUGAUGAAAUGCCUGAGAGAAAUGUCGGUUCUUGGAAUGUUAUUCUAUCGGGUUAUGCGGAUUCAGGGGAUCGUAAUUUUGAUAAGGAGGUUUCAGGUUUUGUUAAAGACAUGCAGAUUGAGGGGUUAAAACCCGAUGCAUUUACAGUUUCCAGUCUUUUGACUCUGUGUAAUGGGCAUAUGGGGAAAAGGGACCAUGGGAGGGAGCUUCAUGGGUUUAUAGUGAGAAUUGAAUUGGCCGUGGGUUCUGGUACAGAAGUUCAUUUGGGAUGCUGUUUGAUUGAUAUGUACUCGAGGAGUAGUAGAGUUGAUGUGGGUAGAAGGGUUUUUGAUAGAAUGGAGUGUAGAAAUGUUUAUGCUUGGACAGCAAUGAUCAAUGGUUAUGUGCAGAAUGGAGCUCUAGAAGAAGGACUGGUUCUUUUUCAUGAAAUGCAGGUGAGGGAUGGAGUAGAACCUAAUAAGGUGUCGCUUGUGAGUGUUCUUCCUGCUUGUAGCGCGGUUGCUGGUUUAACUGGAGUGAAACAAAUUCAUGGAUAUGCCAUUAGGAAGCAAUUCAAUAAUGAUGUUUCUUUAUGCAAUGCUUUGAUUGACAUGUAUUCCAAGUGUGGGAGCUUGGAUCAUGCAAAACAAGUCUUCGAGUUUGGUUCUUUUCUUAGGGAUCCGAUAUCUUGGAGUUCAAUGAUUUCUGGCUAUGGAUUGCACGGGAAGGGAGAGGAAGCUGUCUUUGUAUACAACAAGAUGCUUCAGCUUGGGAAUAAACCAGACAUGAUAACAAUAGUAGGGAUUCUUUCUGCUUGUAGUCGGGCUGGAUUGGUAGAUGAAGGCUUGUGCAUCUACAAGUCUGCAAUAAAUAAAUAUAGAAUUAAGCCAACUGUUGAGAUUUGUGCUUGUGUUGUGGAUAUGUUAGGCCGAACAGGCCAGCUUGGCCAAGCUUUAGAUUAUAUUAAAACUAUGCCAAUGGAACCUAGUCCAAGUGUUUGGGGGGCUCUUGUUAGUGCUUCCAUAAUCCAUGGAAAUUCUGAGAUGCAGGAUCUGGCUUAUAGGUUCCUUGUUCAGUUAGAACCUGAAAACCCUUCGAAUUAUGUCUCGCUUUCAAAUCUACAUGCGUCUUCCAGGAGAUGGGAUGUAGUAUCUGAGGUGAGAACAAUGAUGAAAGAUAGAUGCUUAACAAAAACUCCUGGGUGCAGUUGGAUAAGCAUUAAUAACACUACUCAUUUUUUCUAUGCUGCUGAUAAACUGCAUCCUUGUUCCAAGUCAAUCUAUGAACUGCUGGGUGGCCUCAUAUUACUGAUGAAAGGACCUGCUGUUUCUCAUGAUUUUGAAAAUUUUACAUGGGUGUCUUGAUAUUGAUCUUCUGUUAUCUGUCUCCCUUUACUAUUGAGGAUAUCUUGUCUAAACCAUAUGGUGCCACAAAUAUGCAUUCACUAAACGAAGGAUCGAGACUUGUAUGCUGUCCAUACCUCUGGAAAUGUUUGCUGAAAAAUUUGUCAUUCAGGUGGAUUUUGCAUGCAUUCUUAAACUGGCCAAACUUAUUUCAAGUUUAGCUGUGUGGAUUGGUAGUUUGGACAGAGACCAUUCUAGUUCCUCGCUCAUUUCUUCAACAAAUUAUUGAAACGAAAGGAGUGCGGC
RNA transcript from Populus nigra (black poplar), 2192 nucleotides. It is a transcript of the gene named pentatricopeptide repeat-containing protein At3g12770-like, with no coding region annotated. The transcript is spliced from 2 exons. The record is from RefSeq and is a predicted model, not a curated record. NCBI's taxonomy places the organism in Eukaryota, Viridiplantae, Streptophyta, Magnoliopsida, Malpighiales, Salicaceae.